CCUACGGGAGGCAGCAGUGGGGAAUUUUGGACAAUGGGGGCAACCCUGAUCCAGCCAUGCCGCGUGAGUGAAGAAGGCCUUCGGGUUGUAAAGCUCUUUCGGCCGGGAAGAAAUCGUACGGGCUAAUACCCUGUGCGGAUGACGGUACCGGCAUAAGAAGCACCGGCUAACUACGUGCCAGCAGCCGCGGUAAUACGUAGGGUGCGAGCGUUAAUCGGAAUUACUGGGCGUAAAGCGUGCGCAGGCGGUUUUGUAAGACAGGCGUGAAAUCCCCGGGCUCAACCUGGGAACUGCGCUUGUGACUGCAAGGCUAGAGUAUGGCAGAGGGGGGUGGAAUUCCACGUGUAGCAGUGAAAUGCGUAGAGAUGUGGAGGAACACCAAUGGCGAAGGCAGCCCCCUGGGCCAAUACUGACGCUCAUGCACGAAAGCGUGGGUAGCAAACAGGAUUAGAUACCCUGGUAGUCCACGCCCUAAACGAUGUCAACUAGGUGUUGGGUGGGUAAAACCAUUUAGUACCGUAGCUAACGCGUGAAGUUGACCGCCUGGGGAGUACGGCCGCAAGGUUAAAACUCAAAGGAAUUGACGG
This 587-nucleotide ribosomal RNA is filed under the name uncultured beta proteobacterium. Its description in RNAcentral is "bacterial SSU rRNA". It matches the Rfam family "Bacterial small subunit ribosomal RNA", at positions 338 to 916 of the family's 1533-position model. The record is from RNAcentral. Lineage: Bacteria; Pseudomonadati; Pseudomonadota; Betaproteobacteria.